Long non-coding RNA from Ostrinia nubilalis (European corn borer), 1048 nucleotides. RefSeq lists it as uncharacterized. The record is from RefSeq and is a predicted model, not a curated record. NCBI's taxonomy places the organism in Eukaryota, Metazoa, Arthropoda, Insecta, Lepidoptera, Crambidae. The transcript has 3 exons.
GUGUAGUCGAUACGUGUUUCUGCACCAUUUGAAACUUCUGUUCCAUUUCCUUUAAUGAUUGCAUUUUUUAUAGAAUUGCUUAAAUUAUAUAAAAUAUUAUAAACCCGAAUUUUUUCGAUUAAUACAGAGUCGCACAUUCAAAUACUUAAACGCCCGUAUUCACAAACAUUACUAUGAGGUCUCACAGUGUGCGUGGACGCACAGGGUGACACACGAGCCAAUCGCAGAGCUCUAUUCAACGCUGUGCGUAGGGAUAUUCCGAUACUAAUAAAUACGAGUAGGUACUCGAUACUUUUGAUUCGAUACCAAGUAUUUAUUGUAUCGAAUCAAUUUUGCGAUACAUAAUCGGUAUCGAAACAAAAAUACUUGGUAUCGAAUCGAAUCAGCAAAACAACCGAAAACAAUAAAAAAAAAACCGAGAACGCAUCAUACAGAACUGAGAGAGUAAAAACAGUCAGCUAAUCAGCUUUAAUCGGUUACCGAGUUACCGGUAUUCGUCGCGUGGCGGCGUGAGUGACGCGUUGUCUCGCGCUGGGCCAGCCGAAUUCGUCCGACUUCAGCCGAGCCCGAGCCGAAAGCGAGAGAAGGAGACACCCGCACCCGCCCGCAAAUCAUCUCGCCAUUCCCCCAUUGUGAAAGUGUUAAGUGAUUAUUUACAAGUAAUUUUAUUAAUUGUAAUCAUCAAAUUCAUCGGUUUAUUCCAAUGUUAUCAUGGCAUAAACCGAUAAAUAAAUAGUUGUUUUCUUCUCAAUUUUGUUUAAAUUAUUGUCCUUCAACGUUCAUUGAUAGCACCCUCAAAAUAAUAAAACAAAAUAAAAGUUCCAAAAAGUAUCGAUAUCAGUAAGUAUCGAUACUUUAGGAGUACUUAUUUAAGUAGUAUCGAAAAAAGAUUUGAGUAUUAUCGAAAUGAGUAGGUAUCGAUACUUAGGUGGUAUCGGAACAUCCCUAGCUGCGCGUUGCCGCGAAGAGCAGUGAAUGCAAGUGUGGUGCGCUAGAUGGCGACACAGUAGCUUCUUGUAGCAGUCAGCCCUAUGGCAUCAAGACAGUA